UACGGAGGGUGCGAGCGUUUAAUCGGAAUUACUGGGCGUAAAGGGUGCGUAGGUGGUUUAUUAAGUUAGCUGUGAAAUUCCUGGGCUUAACCUGGGCAGGUCAGCUAAGACUGAUGGACUCGAGUAUGGGAGAGGGCAGUGGAAUUUCCGGUGUAGCGGUGAAAUGCGUAGAGAUCGGAAGGAACACCAGUGGCGAAGGCGGCUGCCUGGCCUAAUACUGACACUGAGGCACGAAAGCGUGGGGAGCAAACAGG
RNAcentral lists this ribosomal RNA (254 nucleotides) under uncultured bacterium. RNAcentral describes it as "partial 16S ribosomal RNA". It matches the Rfam family "Bacterial small subunit ribosomal RNA", at positions 524 to 776 of the family's 1533-position model. The record is from RNAcentral.